This 8873-nucleotide long non-coding RNA is filed under the name Brassica napus (rape). RNAcentral describes it as "long non-coding RNA (BNAP_LNC022388)". The stretch from base 2604 to 2679 matches the Rfam family "Small nucleolar RNA J33". The record is from RNAcentral. Lineage: Eukaryota; Viridiplantae; Streptophyta; Magnoliopsida; Brassicales; Brassicaceae.
GCCUGAGUGUAUCUGUUACAUCUUCCACAAUAUGGCCUCGGAGCUUAACAAGAUCUUAGAGGAUUGCCUCGACGAGAGCACGGGGCAGCCGUAUUCUCCUAAGAUCACGGGGGAGAAUAGUUUCCUAAACGGCGUCGUUAAGCCUAUCUACGACACGAUCAGAGCUGAGAUUAAUGAGAGCAAGAACGGGACGGAGCCGCAUUGUAAGUGGAGGAACUACGAUGAUAUUAAUGAGUACUUCUGGACGGAUAGGUGUUUUAGUAAAUUGAAAUGGCCGAUUGAUUUGGGGAGCAGUUUCUUCAAGAACAGCAGAGGUAGCGGAGUUGGGAAGACAGGUUUUGUGGAGAGGAGGACGUUUUUCUACCUCUACAGGAGCUUUGAUAGGCUUUGGGUGAUGCUUGCUUUGUUUCUUCAAGCUGCUAUUAUAGUUGCUUGGGAGGAGAAGCCGGGUGGAGGGUCGGUGACGAGUCAGCUCUGGAAUGCGUUGAAGUCGACGGAUGUUCAGGUGAGGCUUUUGACUGUGUUCUUGACGUGGAGUGGGAUGAGGUUGUUGCAGGCUGUGUUGGACGCUGGCUCGCAACGGUCUCUUAUUUCUAGAGAGACCAAACGGCUGUUUUUCAGAAUGUUGAUGAAGGUUGUGGCUGCUACGGUUUGGAUAGUAGCGUUUAUUGUUCUCUACACGAACAUCUGGAAGCAGAGGAAGCAAGAUAGGCAGUGGUCCAGAGCCGCGAAUGAUAAGAUCUAUCAGUUCCUUUACGCUGUGGUGGCUUUCUUGGUUCCUGAGAUCCUGGCUUUGGCUCUGUUUAUAGUCCCGUGGAUAAGGAACUUUCUGGAAGAGACGAAUUGGAAGAUAUUCUUUGCUUUGACUUGGUGGUUCCAGGGUAAAAGCUUUGUGGGUCGAGGUUUGAGAGAGGGGUUGGUGGACAACAUCAAGUACUCGACUUUCUGGAUCUUUGUCCUUGCAACGAAGUUCACGUUCAGCUACUUCCUGCAGGUUAAGCCAAUGAUUAAACCCUCGAAGCUGCUAUGGAAUUUGAAGGAGGUGGAUUAUGAGUGGCAUCAGUUCUUUGGCGAGAGCAAUAGGUUUUCUGUCUUGUUAUUGUGGCUGCCAGUGGUGUUGAUAUACCUGAUGGAUAUCCAAAUUUGGUACGCGAUCUAUUCUUCGAUUGUUGGUGCUGUUGUUGGGCUGUUUGAUCAUCUGGGGGAGAUCAGGGACAUGGGACAGCUUAGGCUGAGGUUUCAGUUCUUUGCUAGCGCUAUUCAGUUCAACCUAAUGCCUGAGGAACAACUCCUGAAUGCUAGAGGAUUUGGUAACAAGCUUAAGGACGCCAUUCAUAGGUAAGUCUAUUGAAGCAUGUUACUGAUAUUUCUAUAUAAUUUACUAUAUAGAGUUUGUCUUUAAAGUACAAGCUAUAGUAUUUUAGUUUUGUUAAAGCAGAUUCUCCGCAAUGAACUCGACUUUUUCACAUUGUAAUAACAUUGAGUUUGUGUACUUUAUGCAGAUUGAAGCUGAGGUAUGGAUUGGGGCGGCCGUUUAAGAAACUCGAGUCCAAUCAGGUUGAGGCUAACAAGUUUGCGCUGAUCUGGAAUGAGAUAAUCUUAGCUUUCAGAGAGGAGGAUAUAGUCUCUGAUCGAGAAGUAGAGCUGCUGGAGCUGCCAAAGAAUUCCUGGAAUGUGACAGUUAUCCGCUGGCCGUGUUUCCUGUUGUGCAACGAACUUUUGCUUGCACUGAGCCAGGCGAAAGAGCUGGUUGACGCACCUGAUAAAUGGCUGUGGCACAAGAUAUGCAAGAAUGAGUACAGGCGGUGUGCUGUGGUUGAGGCAUAUGAAAGCAUCAAACAUCUGUUGCUCUCAAUCAUCAAAAUUGACACUGAAGAACAUAAAAUUGUUACAAUUUUCUUUCAGAUGAUUGAGGUGUCUAUUCAGGGUGAGCAGUUCACCAAGACCUUCAAAGUGGACCUUUUGCCAAAGAUUUAUGAGACACUGCAGAAGUUGGUUGGGCUGUUGAAUGAUGAGAAAGUGGAUGUUGGGCGAGUGGUGAAUGGUCUGCAGUCUAUUUAUGAGAUUGCAACACGACAGUUCUUCCUAGAAAAGAAGACGACUGAACAGCUAUCUACUGAGGGGUUAACUCCUCAUGAUCCAGCCUCAAAGUUACUGUUUCAGAAUGCUGUUAGGCUUCCCGAUGCAAGCAAUGAAGACUUCUUCCGGCAGGUUAGGCGGUUACACACAAUUCUCACUUCUAGGGACUCUAUGCACAGCGUCCCUGUGAAUCUAGAGGCGAGACGGCGGAUUGCCUUCUUCAGCAAUUCGCUCUUCAUGAACUUGCCUCAUGCACCUCAGGUGGAGAAAAUGUUGGCGUUCAGUGUUAUGACUCCAUACUACAGCGAGGAAGUUGUAUACAGCAAAGAACAGCUCCGAAAUGAGACUGAGGAUGGGAUUUCAACCUUGUAUUACCUGCAGACGAUUUAUGCCGACGAAUGGAAAAAUUUUAAGGAACGGAUGCGUAGGGAAGGUAUAAAGACAGAUGUUGAGUUGUGGACAACCAAGCUGAGAGAGCUCAGGCUUUGGGCUUCCUACAGAGGUCAGACUUUGGCACGUACAGUUCGAGGAAUGAUGUACUAUUACAGGGCUCUUAAGAUGCUUGCUUUUCUCGACUCUGCGUCUGAAAUGGACAUUCGGGAGGAUGCUCAGGAGCUUGGUUCAAUGAGGAGUUCGCAGGGAAAUCGAUUGGAUGGUGUUGACGAUGUAAAUGACCGAUCUUCUCUAAGCAGAGCAACUAGCUCUGUGAGCAUGCUGUAUAAAGGCCAUGAGCAUGGGACUGCAUUGAUGAAAUUCACAUAUGUCGUGGCGUGCCAAAUCUAUGGGUCUCAAAAAGCGAAGAAAGAGCCUCAGGCAGAGGAAAUUCUGUAUCUUAUGAAGCAAAACGAAGCCCUUCGUAUUGCAUAUGUGGAUGAGGUACAUGCGGGCAGGGGAGAGACUGAGUAUUACUCCGUUCUGGUGAAAUACGAUCACACGUUGGAGAGGGAAGUGGAGAUAUUCCGUGUGAAGCUACCUGGUCCGGUGAAGCUGGGUGAGGGAAAGCCAGAGAACCAGAAUCAUGCAAUGAUCUUUACCCGUGGUGAUGCUGUUCAGACCAUAGAUAUGAACCAGGAUAAUUAUUUUGAGGAGGCUCUCAAGAUGAGAAAUUUGAAUAACAAAGAAUGUAGCCCAAACGGAAACAGAAUAAAUGAAACGCGGUAAAGUGAACAGAUGUCACAUAAUGAUUGGCUGAUUUAAUUGUCCUACGUGGACAGCUUCUCUGAUGCUCAUAUAACCCUUUUAGUAUAGGUUAGAUGAUAUCAUCCUUAGUCAAAAGUCAAAACAUCUCAAAUUAAAUAAGUAUAGAGUUGUGAAUUUUUAAAAAAGUAUAGAGUAUAUAAAAUUAGCAUUUGCGAAUGUUUUUAAAAGUUUGGCGUUUGUAUGGAUCACUGUCAGUGUCAUGAAUCAUUCGGUGACUGCAAAAUUUUAUAUGACAAAAAAAAAAGAGAGUUGAUACUUACCAUUCUCGAUAUUUUGAAAUUUUUUUCGUCGUUAAUACAAACUCAACAUUUUCGAAAUCUUGGAUUAAAAAAAAAAAAUAUGGACAAAACGGUACUUAUUAAUUAAUUAUGUACUAGCGUCUUGACAUUAUUAAUAUAGAUAUAAUUAUAAGAACAAGAAACGUAUAUGCACAAACCCUCAAACCAAAUUUAAAUAGUGUUAAAAAACAAGGGAUGUACUUGUUAUGAAAAAUUAAUAUAUAACCAUUCUUAACAUUUUUACCUAACCCUUAAACUUUAUAAAUAAAAAUACGUAAUAUCCCGAUAGAAAUAUUUUAAAAUUUUGAUUUGAUUAUUUAUGUUAUCAAAGUGCAUUUAUUUUUUUUUGUCACGUAUAUAUUUAAAAUUUCAACAUUAAAAGUGUGUAAGAUGGAGUAGUGAAAAUAUAGACGACUUACCAUAAAAUUAUUUGUGAUAUCAUUUGAAUAAGACUAAAACACGGACAAAAAUAAUAUAGUGAUUGCAUUGUUAUUAAACAAUUAUUUGGAUUUGAAAAGAAAUAACUCAUUGAAUGAAGCCUAUGAGCCGAGUAAACGGACGUGGAUAGCUUAAGCGGUUGGACCGUACAAAAUUUAUGACCAACAAGAAAAUGAAAUUGAUUUUUUUUUUGACGAAAAAAUGAAAUUGAUUUUAGAAAGUAACAAAAUGGUUCCAGAUUUCAAUACUUCAACGUUUUUUUAUGCCGACUUUCUUUUCCUCUUUUACUUACAUGAUAAGGAAACGAGAGAGGUUGAAGAAACAAAGAAACUUCCUAAGCAUUUAGAAAUGUAUCUUCAAAAAAUCUAGUAUUUACCAAGUAAAAUCAUUCAAAAUAAGGAAAAAAAGAAGAAUCUAUUUCCCAAUUUGGUUUUCACCGAAAAAAAAAUUGUCUUAAUAAAAUCUUAAUGCACCAAAUCAUAUAAGAACUUUAUAUGACCAUUGUCAUUAGUUUUUUCUUUAUGGUAAUGGAUCUUCAAAUAAUUUAAAUUAAAUUAAAAAAAAAAAAGAGAAACAAAAACGCGGAAAGGAGAGCCCAAAUCGUCUCCGUCUGUCAUUGUCGCAGUCUCUCACAGCUAAAUAAAAGAGAAAAACAAAUCGCAACGCUUCAAUAUCUCUCUCCCAAUCGUUUGAAUCAGUCUUCCUCAUCACAAUCCCCCAAAGAUCCACCACACAUGCUACUAUGAGCCUCCGCCACCGCACCGUCCCCUCUCAACCCGGACGGCCCCCGGCGGCGGGCGCAAUCGACGACGAGCCCUACAACAUCAUCCCCGUCAACAACCUCCUCGCCGACCACCCCUCCCUCCGCUACCCCGAGGUCCGCGCCGCCGCCGCCGCCCUCAAAACCGGCGGCGACCUCCGCCGCCCCACCUACGUCCAAUGGCGCCCCCACUACGACCUCCUCGACUGGCUCGCCCUCUUCUUCGGCUUCCAGAAGGACAACGUCCGCAACCAGCGCGAGCACCUCGUCCUCCACCUCGCCAACGCCCAGAUGCGCCUCACGCCGCCGCCGGAUAACAUCGAUUCCCUCGAUCCCGCCGUCGUCCGCCGUUUCCGCCGCAAGCUCCUCGGUAACUACUCGAGCUGGUGCUCGUACCUCGGGAGGAAGUCGAACAUCUGGAUCUCGGAUCGGAACCCCGAUUCGAGGCGGGAGCUUCUCUACGUCGGCCUCUACCUCCUCGUGUGGGGGGAGGCGGCGAAUCUUAGGUUUAUGCCGGAGUGUGUCUGUUACAUCUUCCACAAUAUGGCCUCGGAGCUUAACAAGAUCCUCGAGGAUUGCCUCGACGAGAGCACGGGGCAGCCGUACUCUCCUAGAAUCACGGGGGAGAAUAGUUUCCUAAACGGCGUCGUUAAACCUAUUUACGAGACGAUCAAAGCUGAGAUUAACGAGAGCAAGAACGGGACGGAGCCGCAUUGUAAGUGGAGGAACUAUGAUGAUAUUAAUGAAUACUUUUGGACGGAUAGGUGUUUUAGUAAAUUGAAAUGGCCGAUUGAUUUGGGGAGCAGUUUCUUCAAGAGUAGUAGAGGGAGAGGCGUUGGGAAGACAGGUUUUGUGGAGAGGAGGACGUUCUUUUACCUCUACAGGAGCUUUGAUAGGCUUUGGGUGAUGCUUGCUUUGUUUCUUCAAGCUGCUAUUAUAGUCGCUUGGGAGGAGAAGCCGGGUGGAGGGUCGGUGAGGAGUCAGCUCUGGAAUGCGUUGAAGUCGAGGGAUGUUCGGGUGAGGCUUUUGACUGUGUUCUUGACGUGGAGUGGGAUGAGAUUACUGCAGGCUGUGCUGGACGCUGCCUCGCAACGGCCGCUUAUUUCUAGAGAGACCAAGCGGCUGUUUUUCAGAAUGUUGAUGAAGGUUGUAGCUGCUACGGUUUGGAUAAUUGCUUUUAUUGUUCUCUACACGAACAUCUGGAAGCAGAGGAAGCAAGACAGGCAGUGGUCCAGAGCCGCGAAUGACAAGAUCUAUCAGUUCCUUUACGCUGUGGUGGCUUUCUUGGUCCCUGAGAUCCUGGCUUUGGCUCUGUUUAUAGUCCCGUGGAUAAGGAACUUUCUGGAAGAGACCAAUUGGAAGAUAUUCUUUGCUUUGACUUGGUGGUUCCAGGGUAAAAGCUUUGUGGGUCGAGGUUUGAGAGAGGGGUUGGUGGACAACAUCAAGUACUCGACUUUCUGGAUCUUUGUCCUAGCAACGAAGUUCACGUUCAGCUACUUCCUGCAGGUUAAGCCAAUGAUUAAACCCUCGAAGCUGCUAUGGAAUUUGAAGGAGGUGGAUUAUGAGUGGCAUCAGUUCUUUGGCGAGAGCAAUAGGUUUUCUGUCUUGUUAUUGUGGCUGCCAGUGGUGUUGAUAUACCUGAUGGAUAUCCAAAUUUGGUACGCGAUCUAUUCUUCGAUUGUUGGUGCUGUUGUUGGGCUGUUUGAUCAUCUGGGGGAGAUCAGGGACAUGGGACAGCUUAGGCUGAGGUUUCAGUUCUUUGCUAGCGCUAUUCAGUUCAACCUAAUGCCUGAGGAACAACUCCUGAAUGCUAGAGGAUUUGGUAACAAGCUUAAGGACGCCAUUCAUAGGUAAGUCUAUUGAAGCAUGUUACUGAUAUUCCUUUAUAAUUUACUGUACAGAGUUUGUCUUUACGGUACAAGUUAUGGAAUUUUAGUUUUGUUAAAGCAGAUUCUCUUAACUCGGCUUUUCAACAUUGUAAUAACCUUGAGUUUGUGUACUUUAUGCAGAUUGAAGCUGAGGUAUGGACUUGGGCGGCCAUUUAAGAAACUCGAGUCUAAUCAGGUUGAGGCUAACAAGUUUGCGCUGAUCUGGAAUGAGAUAAUCUUAGCUUUCAGAGAAGAGGAUAUAGUCUCUGAUCGAGAAGUAGAGCUACUGGAGCUGCCAAAAAAUUCCUGGAAUGUGACAGUUAUCCGCUGGCCGUGUUUCCUGUUGUGCAACGAGCUUUUGCUUGCACUGAGCCAGGCGAAAGAGCUGGUUGACGCACCUGAUAAAUGGCUGUGGCACAAGAUAUGCAAGAACGAGUACAGGCGGUGUGCUGUGGUUGAGGCAUAUGAAAGCAUCAAACAUCUGUUGCUCUCAAUCAUCAAAAUUGACACCGAAGAACAUAAAAUUAUUACAAUUUUCUUUCAGAUGAUUGAGGUGUCUAUUCAGGGUGAGCAGUUCACCAAGACCUUCAAAGUGGACCUAUUGCCAAAGAUUUAUGAGACGCUACAGAAGUUGGUUGGGCUGUUGAAUGAUGAGAAAGUGGAUGUUGGGCGAGUGGUGAAUGGUCUGCAGUCUAUUUAUGAGAUUGCAACACGACAGUUCUUCAUAGAAAAGAAGACGACUGAACAGCUAUCUACCGAGGGGUUAACUCCUCAUGAUCCAGCCUCAAAGUUACUGUUUCAGAAUGCUGUUAGGCUUCCCGAUGCAAGCAAUGAAGACUUCUUCCGGCAGGUUAGGCGGUUACACACAAUUCUCACUUCUAGGGACUCUAUGCACAGCGUCCCUGUGAAUCUAGAGGCGAGACGGCGGAUUGCCUUCUUCAGCAAUUCGCUCUUCAUGAACUUGCCUCAUGCACCUCAGGUGGAGAAAAUGUUGGCGUUCAGUGUUAUGACUCCAUACUACAGCGAGGAAGUUGUAUACAGUAAAGAACAGCUCCGAAAUGAGACUGAGGAUGGGAUUUCAACCUUGUAUUACCUGCAGACGAUUUAUGCCGACGAAUGGAAAAAUUUUAAGGAACGGAUGCGUAGGGAAGGUAUAAAGACAGAUGUUGAGUUGUGGACAACCAAGCUGAGAGAGCUCAGGCUUUGGGCUUCCUACAGAGGUCAGACUUUGGCACGUACAGUUCGAGGAAUGAUGUACUAUUACAGGGCUCUUAAGAUGCUUGCUUUUCUCGACUCUGCGUCUGAAAUGGACAUUCGGGAGGAUGCUCAGGAGCUUGGUUCAAUGAGGAGUUCGCAGGGAAAUCGAUUGGAUGGUGUUGACGAUGUAAAUGACCGAUCUUCUCUAAGCAGAGCAACUAGCUCUGUGAGCAUGCUGUAUAAAGGCCAUGAGCAUGGGACUGCAUUGAUGAAAUUCACAUAUGUCGUGGCGUGCCAAAUCUAUGGGUCUCAAAAAGCGAAGAAAGAGCCUCAGGCAGAGGAAAUUCUGUAUCUUAUGAAGCAAAACGAAGCCCUUCGUAUUGCAUAUGUGGAUGAGGUACAUGCGGGCAGGGGAGAGACUGAGUAUUACUCCGUUCUGGUGAAAUACGAUCACACGUUGGAGAGGGAAGUGGAGAUAUUCCGUGUGAAGCUACCUGGUCCGGUGAAGCUGGGUGAGGGAAAGCCAGAGAACCAGAAUCAUGCAAUGAUCUUUACCCGUGGUGAUGCUGUUCAGACCAUAGAUAUGAACCAGGAUAAUUAUUUUGAGGAGGCUCUCAAGAUGAGAAAUUUGCUCCAGGAGUUUAGGCAUUAUCAUGGGAUCAGAAAACCAACUAUUCUUGGUGUCAGAGAGCACAUCUUCACGGGUUCUGUCUCGUCUCUGGCUUGGUUCAUGUCUGCUCAGGAGACAAGUUUCGUCACUCUGGGUCAGCGUGUUCUAGCCAACCCGCUGAAGGUCAGAAUGCAUUAUGGUCACCCUGAUGUAUUUGACAGAUUCUGGUUCUUGAGUCGAGGUGGCAUCAGCAAAGCUUCUAGAGUUAUAAAUAUCAGUGAGGACAUCUUCGCCGGGUUUAAUUGCACAUUGCGGGGCGGUAACGUCACCCACCACGAGUAUAUUCAGGUAGGGAAAUGUUCAUCGUUUGGAUAUUCUAACUAAUUUAUACAUCGACAACAAUACUAUAAUUCCACUUUUUUGUUAUAACCUUUUUGUGUGUG